ACCCUGAAACACCCCUGCCACAAUAUAGCACUUUCAAUUUUCUCCCCUUGUCUAAGUCAUCCUAAUGAAAAGAAUAAUCUAUUACACUUCCCUUCAAGUCAUAGUGCCAAUGCCCAAAGCAAGAUAAGGAGGAUACAGGAGGAUACAGAUUUGAAAAUAAUUUUUAUAUCUCAAUCCCCCUUCAUGACAUCACUAUCCAACUCUCCCAGGACUUUCUUUGAGCUAUAGCUAGAAGACAGACUACCCACAGCCUUGCCUCAAAGACAAUUUCCAGCACUUUAAUGUGAUUUUUCUUAUUAUAAUUCUGUUUCCACUACAUCUGGGAAUGGAGUGUGUUCAGUUCACUGUCUGAAGGACACAGAGUUCCUUCUGGUUACUCAUCAACUGUUUCUGUCACAUCUCAGUGUUGGGAUCACAAAGAUGUAAGCACUCAGCCAUUUCCCCACACCCCAUGAGAUCUUGGCAUCAUCUGUAUAUUCCCUUGAAUCCUUUGACCUGCCUACUUUUAUUUCUACUAGACUACCUCUGAUCAUUUGCCCUUUCAAUGUAUUCCCCCUCUGAAUUCC
RNAcentral lists this long non-coding RNA (566 nucleotides) under Marmota monax (woodchuck). The record is from RNAcentral. Lineage: Eukaryota; Metazoa; Chordata; Mammalia; Rodentia; Sciuridae.